GACGAACGCUGGCGGCGCGCUUAACACAUGCAAGUCGAACGGAAAGGCCCUGCUUUUGUGGGGUGCUCGAGUGGCGAACGGGUGAGUAACACGUGAGUAACCUGCCCUUGACUUUGGGAUAACUUCAGGAAACUGGGGCUAAUACCGGAUAGGAGCUCCUGCUGCAUGGUGGGGGUUGGAAAGUUUCGGCGGUUGGGGAUGGACUCGCGGCUUAUCAGCUUGUUGGUGGGGUAGUGGCUUACCAAGGCUUUGACGGGUAGCCGGCCUGAGAGGGUGACCGGCCACAUUGGGACUGAGAUACGGCCCAGACUCCUACGGGAGGCAGCAGUGGGGAAUAUUGCACAAUGGGCGGAAGCCUGAUGCAGCAACGCCGCGUGCGGGAUGACGGCCUUCGGGUUGUAAACCGCUUUCGCCUGUGACGAAGCGUGAGUGACGGUAAUGGGUAAAGAAGCACCGGCUAACUACGUGCCAGCAGCCGCGGUGAUACGUAGGGUGCGAGCGUUGUCCGGAUUUAUUGGGCGUAAAGGGCUCGUAGGUGGUUGAUCGCGUCGGAAGUGUAAUCUUGGGGCUUAACCCUGAGCGUGCUUUCGAUACGGGUUGACUUGAGGAAGGUAGGGGAGAAUGGAAUUCCUGGUGGAGCGGUGGAAUGCGCAGAUAUCAGGAGGAACACCAGUGGCGAAGGCGGUUCUCUGGGCCUUUCCUGACGCUGAGGAGCGAAAGCGUGGGGAGCGAACAGGCUUAGAUACCCUGGUAGUCCACGCUGUAAACGGUGGGUACUAGGUGUGGGGUCCAUUCCACGGGUUCCGUGCCGUAGCUAACGCUUUAAGUACCCCGCCUGGGGAGUACGGCCGCAAGGCUAAAACUCAAAGGAAUUGACGGGGCCCCGCACAAGCGGCGGAGCAUGCGGAUUAAUUCGAUGCAACGCGUAGAACCUUACCUGGGUUUGACAUGGAUCGGGAGUGCUCAGAGAUGGGUGUGCCUCUUUUGGGGUCGGUUCACAGGUGGUGCAUGGCUGUCGUCAGCUCGUGUCGUGAGAUGUUGGGUUAAGUCCCGCAACGAGCGCAACCCUUGUUCACUGUUGCCAGCACGUUAUGGUGGGGACUCAGUGGAGACCGCCGGGGUCAACUCGGAGGAAGGUGGGGAUGGCGUCAAGUCAUCAUGCCCCUUAUGUCCAGGGCUUCACGCAUGCUACAAUGGCUGGUACAGAGAGUGGCGAGCCUGUGAGGGUGAGCGAAUCUCGGAAAGCCGGUCUCAGUUCGGAUUGGGGUCUGCAACUCGACCUCAUGAAGUCGGAGUCGCUAGUAAUCGCAGAUCAGCAACGCUGCGGUGAAUACGUUCCCGGGGCU
RNAcentral lists this ribosomal RNA (1346 nucleotides) under uncultured bacterium. Its description in RNAcentral is "partial 16S ribosomal RNA". It matches the Rfam family "Bacterial small subunit ribosomal RNA", at positions 28 to 1381 of the family's 1533-position model. The record is from RNAcentral.